GACGAACGCUGGCGGCGUGCUUAACACAUGCAAGUCGAGCGGUAAGGCCCUUCGGGGUACACGAGCGGCGAACGGGUGAGUAACACGUGGGUGAUCUGCCUUGCACUUCGGGAUAAGCCUGGGAAACUGGGUCUAAUACCGGAUAUGACCUUCCGAUGCAUGCUGGGUGGUGGAAAGAUUUAUCGGUGCGAGAUGGGCCCGCGGCCUAUCAGCUUGUUGGUGAGGUAACGGCUCACCAAGGCGACGACGGGUAGCCGACCUGAGAGGGUGACCGGCCACACUGGGACUGAGACACGGCCCAGACUCCUACGGGAGGCAGCAGUGGGGAAUAUUGCACAAUGGGCGAAAGCCUGAUGCAGCGACGCCGCGUGCGGGAUGACGGCCUUCGGGUUGUAAACCGCUUUUGACAGGGACGAAGCGCAAGUGACUGUACCUGUAGAAUAAGGACCGGCCAACUACGUG
This 462-nucleotide ribosomal RNA is filed under the name Nocardia ignorata. RNAcentral's name for it is "bacterial SSU rRNA". It matches the Rfam family "Bacterial small subunit ribosomal RNA", at positions 28 to 507 of the family's 1533-position model. Lineage: Bacteria; Bacillati; Actinomycetota; Actinomycetes; Mycobacteriales; Nocardiaceae. The record is from RNAcentral.